UAUGCGAUCAUUGGUGUGAAUUGCAGAAUCCCGUGAACCAUCGAGUCUUUGAACGCAAGUUGCGCCCGAAGCCAUUAGGCCGAGGGCACGUCUGCCUGGGCGUCA
Molecule: ribosomal RNA, 105 nt
Filed under: Eleutherococcus brachypus
Lineage: Eukaryota; Viridiplantae; Streptophyta; Magnoliopsida; Apiales; Araliaceae
Also listed under: 1 other name
Description: partial 5.8S ribosomal RNA
Rfam family: 5.8S ribosomal RNA
About the family: 5.8S ribosomal RNA (5.8S rRNA) is a component of the large subunit of the eukaryotic ribosome. It is transcribed by RNA polymerase I as part of the 45S precursor that also contains 18S and 28S rRNA.
Source: RNAcentral